RNAcentral lists this ribosomal RNA (465 nucleotides) under uncultured bacterium. RNAcentral describes it as "partial 16S ribosomal RNA". It matches the Rfam family "Bacterial small subunit ribosomal RNA", at positions 28 to 507 of the family's 1533-position model. The record is from RNAcentral.
GACGAACGCUGGCGGCGUGCUUAACACAUGCAAGUCGAACGGAAAGGCCCCUUUUGGGGUACUCGAGUGGCGAACGGGUGAGUAACACGUAAGUAACCUGCCCUUGACUUCGGUAGAACUUCAGGAAACUGGGGCGAAUACCGGAUAGGAAUCCUUGCUGCCUGCUGGGGGGUGGAAAGAUUGGGGGGUUUUGGAUGGACUCGCGGCUUAUCUGCUUGUUGGUGGGGUAGUGGCUUACCAAGGCUUUGACGGGUGGCCGGCCGGGGGGGGCGACCGGCCACAUUUGGACUGAGAUACGGCCCAGACUCCUACGGGAGGCAGGAGUGGGGAAUAUUGCACAAUGGGCGGAAGCCCGAUGCAGCAACGCCGCGGGCGGGAUGACGGCCUUCGGGUUGUAAACCGCUUUCAGCAGGGGCGAAGCUUGUGGUGACGGUACCUGCAGAAGAAGCACCGGCUAACUACGUG